RNAcentral lists this ribosomal RNA (506 nucleotides) under uncultured bacterium. RNAcentral's name for it is "bacterial SSU rRNA". It matches the Rfam family "Bacterial small subunit ribosomal RNA", at positions 28 to 507 of the family's 1533-position model. The record is from RNAcentral.
GAUGAACGCUAGCGACAGGCCUAACACAUGCAAGUCGAGGGGCAACGGGGCGUAGCAAUACGCUGCCGGCGACCGGCGGAUGGGUGAGUAACGCGUAUGCAACCUGCCUUCAGCAGGGGGAUAGCCCGUUGAAAGACGGAUUAAUACCCCAUAACACAGGGGCUCCGCAUGGAGAUUAUUGUUAAAGGGAUGCUUCCUUCGGGGGUAUUCCGGCUGAAGAUGGGCAUGCGUUCCAUUAGGUAGUUGGUUGAGGUAACGGCUCACCAAGCCUACGAUGGAUAGGGGAACUGAGAGGUUGGUCCCCCACACUGGUACUGAGACACGGACCAGACUCCUACGGGAGGCAGCAGUGAGGAAUCUUGGUCAAUGGACGGAAGUCUGAACCAGCCAUGUCGCGUGAAGGAGGACGGCCCUAAGGGUUGUAAACUUCUUUUGCAGCGGAAUAAAGUAUUCCACGUGAUGGGAUAUUGCAAGUACGCUGCGAAUAAGGAUCGGCUAACUCCGUG